This is a non-coding RNA of Triticum aestivum (bread wheat), 114 nucleotides long. Lineage: Eukaryota; Viridiplantae; Streptophyta; Magnoliopsida; Poales; Poaceae. The record is from Rfam.
CUCCUACUCCCUCCGUUCCAAAUUACUCGUAGAAAAAUGGAUGCAUCUAGAACUAAAAUACAUAUAGAUAUAUCCAUACCUACGACAAGUAAUUUGGAACGGAGGGAGUAGAUU